Long non-coding RNA from Lemur catta (Ring-tailed lemur), 382 nucleotides. RefSeq lists it as uncharacterized. Lineage: Eukaryota; Metazoa; Chordata; Mammalia; Primates; Lemuridae. The record is from RefSeq and is a predicted model, not a curated record. The transcript has 2 exons.
UGCAAUGAGGGCAGCCCCCGGUCCCGCUCAGAGCACUUCCCAGGAAGGUCCAGGAAAAGGAGGACACGCCGCUGGCAGCACCAUGCUGUCAGGAGAGGAUUCAGACAGAGUGGCUUCACUUCAAAAUCCAAACAUCCCUGUACACAGAAAGCAUAUGCUCUGGUUUUUAUUUUGUUUGUUUGUUUGUUUGUUUUUAGCAGAAGGUAAAGGCUUUUUGCACAGGUUGUCAGACCCACGUACCUAGAAACAAGUGGAAACAAGAAGACAUAGGAAACAGUAAGACGCAGAAAGGAGUGAUAUGAAAGUGCCCUACAGAAGAUAAUGGGUCCACUAUUUGUCUCUUUGGGACAGUCAAAAGAGUCACAUCGAAGGAGAGGCUCGA